AAUUGCUUCAAGGUCUGUCUGGAGGGGCUGCGCGCGUCCCUCUGGUUUCUCCGGAUCUGCGCUGACCUCUUCCGCCUGGUGCCGUUCCUUGUGUUCGUGGUGGUGCCGUUCAUGGAGUUUCUGCUGCCUGUUGCUGUGAAGCUCUUCCCCAACAUGUUGCCAUCCACAUUUGAGACUCAGUCACUCAAGGAGGAGAGGCUGAAGAAGGAGCUUCGGGUCAAGCUGGAGCUGGCCAAGUUCCUCCAGGACACCAUCGAGGAGAUGGCCUUGAAGAACAAGGCAGCCAAGGGCAGCGCCACCAAAGACUUCUCUGUGUUUUUCCAGAAGGUGCUGUGAUACGUCUGAGUCCCUGUGACCUCACAAGGGAGCCUUCCCUGAUUUUCUGUUUCCCUUUCGCUGUGCUCAGCAGAGUGGAGCUCCUCCAGGUGCUGGCUGGCGCUUGAAAGUUUACCCAGGAGGCUCAGUCGGGGGCCAGUGGAGUGUUAGGAGUCUGCCCUCACGAGCUCCCAGUGAGUUGAGCUGUGGUGGCUGCACCUCGUCAGCCUUCAGAAUUAUGGGCGUCUGUGUCUCAUCACCCUGCAGCUGUCCAGGAGCAGUAGAAUCUGACCCAUGAGGAGCCUGAGACCCUGAUGGUGUGAGGUGUGGGUGGCUUGGCCGGGCUCCUCUGCUGGGCAUUGCCCUCUGGCUGGAGUCAGUCAAGAAGGUCCCAGGUCCCAGGGGCUGGUCAGAGGCCUGGACUGUGGGAGCAGUGGGGGCUGGAGAGGAGGAGCGGCCCUUGAGGUUUCCUGCGGGCAUGUGGUGAGUGAGGUGAGGAUGGGGAGAGGGCAGCUGCCACGGACGAGAUCCCUGAGGACUAGAUGGGGUUCACGAGGCCAGUGUUGUUGGCUUGAGGGACUUGUGCCACUUUGGAGUGAGAAGGAUGUGUCUGAAGUGCAGGAAGAGCUUAAACCAGGGGCGAGAAACUC
Molecule: small RNA, 965 nt
Filed under: Pan troglodytes (chimpanzee)
Lineage: Eukaryota; Metazoa; Chordata; Mammalia; Primates; Hominidae
Description: retained intron
Source: RNAcentral